GGACACAUAGCUCAGCGGUAGAGCAAUCGGCUGUUAACCGAUUGGUCACAGGUUCAAAUCCUGUUGUGUCCGCCA
RNAcentral lists this transfer RNA (75 nucleotides) under Mycoplasmataceae bacterium. RNAcentral describes it as "tRNA-Asn". It matches the Rfam family "tRNA". From Rfam's summary of the family: Transfer RNA (tRNA) molecules are approximately 80 nucleotides in length. The record is from RNAcentral. Lineage: Bacteria; Bacillati; Mycoplasmatota; Mollicutes; Mycoplasmatales; Mycoplasmataceae.